ACCAGUGUCCUUUAGUGGCUCAUGGCAUAAUCACCCUGAAAAACACCAUUCCUGUCAGAAUCCCAGUGCAGGCUGUGAUGAAAGUGAUUCCUCAAAAUAAUUACGUGUCAGAAGAGCAGUCGUAUUGCAAGUCAGUUGCAAAGAAACAGGAAACACAGCUCUGUAAGCUGCCUCGCCAUCACCCUCUGCUCAGAGAUGCCUACAGUGAUGAUGAUAUAAAAGUAGAUAUUGAGGUGGAACGCGAAGAAAAAGAGGAGUGGGCAAAACCUCUGACCCAGUUGUGGCAGUGUCGACCUUAUAACCCCCAGGUCGAGUGGGAAU
Molecule: long non-coding RNA, 321 nt
Organism: Nematolebias whitei (Rio pearlfish)
Lineage: Eukaryota; Metazoa; Chordata; Actinopteri; Cyprinodontiformes; Rivulidae
Exons: 3
Source: RefSeq, a predicted model, not a curated record